CAUUUUUGCGCCUGUCCCAAGUCAGGAGCCUCUGGCCUUUGAUAGUCUUGUAUUAUUUUAACUUUUAGUUUCUUGUGUACAAUUUGGAGUUUAGUAUGGCGUUCAUUAUCACUGAACUAGUAUAUAUUUGUUUAGGGGCCAGCUGAAGGACGCCUCCAGGUGCGGGAAUUUCUCGUUGCAUUGAAGACCUGUUGGUGACCUUCUGCUGUUGACAGCUCUAUGGUCGGGUUGUUGUCUCUUUGGCACAUUCCCCAUUUCCAUUCUCA
Molecule: long non-coding RNA, 266 nt
Filed under: Mytilus galloprovincialis (Mediterranean mussel)
Lineage: Eukaryota; Metazoa; Mollusca; Bivalvia; Mytilida; Mytilidae
Source: RNAcentral